GCUAUCGGCGAAUGAUGGGCCUGCGCGUCAUUAGCUUGUUGGUGAGGUAACGGCUCACCAAGGCUGCGAUGACUAGCUGGUCUGAGAGGAUGAUCAGCCACACUGGCACUGGAACACGGGCCAGACUCCUACGGGAGGCAGCAGUGGGGAAUAUUGCGCAAUGGGCGAAAGCCUGACGCAGCAACGCCGCGUGAGUGACGAAGGCCUUCGGGUCGUACAGCUCUGUCGAGAGGGACGAAACACCGGUGGGAACAAUACCUCGCCGGUUUGACGGUACCUCCAAAGGAAGCACCGGCUAACUCCGUGCCAGCAGCCGCGGUAAUACGGAGGGUGCAAGCGUCGUUCGGAAUUACUGGGCGUAAAGGGCGUGUAGGCGGAUCAAGAAGUCGGGUGUGAAAGCCCUGGGCUCAACCCAGGAAGUGCGCCCGAAACCAUUGGUCUUGAGUUCCAGAGGGGAGCGGGGAAUUCCCAGUGUAGAGGUGAAAUUCGUAGAUAUUGGGAAGAACACCGGUGCCGAAGGGGCCGCUCUGGAUGGAUACUGACGCUGAGGCGCGAAAGCGUGGGGAGCAAAAAGGAUUAGAUAACCUGGUAGUACACGCUAGUAACGCAGUGCACUAGGUGUCGGGGGUAUUGACCCCCCCGGUGCCGCCGCUAACGCAUUAAGUGCACCGCCUGGGAAGUACGGCCGCAAGGCUGAUACUCAAAGGAAUUGACGGGGGCCCGCACAAGCGGUGGAGUAUGUGGUUCAAUUCGACGCAACGCGCAGAACCUUACCUGGGCUUGACAUCUGGGGAAGUCCCUAGAGAUAGGGAUGUGCCCUUCGGGGAACCCCAUGACAGGUGCUGCAUAGCUGUCGUCAGCUCGUGUCGUGAGAUGUUGGGUUAAGUCCCGCAACGAGCGCAACCCCUGUUCUUAGUUGC
Molecule: ribosomal RNA, 920 nt
Filed under: uncultured organism
Description: bacterial SSU rRNA
Rfam family: Bacterial small subunit ribosomal RNA
Source: RNAcentral